GACCAUCUCCUAAGGCUAAAUACUCUCUAGUGACCGAUAGUGAACCAGUACCGUGAGGGAAAGGUGAAAAGCACCCCGGAAGGGGAGUGAAAUAGAACCUGAAACCGUGUGCUUACAAGUAGUCAGAGCCCGUUAAUGGGUGAUGGCGUGCCUUUUGUAGAAUGAACCGGCGAGUUACGAUUUGAUGCAAGGUUAAGCAGUAAAUGUGGAGCCGUAGCGAAAGCGAGUCUGAAUAGGGCGUUUAGUAUUUGGUCGUAGACCCGAAACCAGGUGAUCUACCCUUGGUCAGGUUGAAGUUCAGGUAACACUGAAUGGAGGACCGAACCGACUUACGUUGAAAAGUGAGCGGAUGAACUGAGGGUAGCGGAGAAAUUCCAAUCGAACCUGGAGAUAGCUGGUUCUCUCCGAAAUAG
RNAcentral lists this ribosomal RNA (413 nucleotides) under Staphylococcus aureus. RNAcentral's name for it is "partial 23S ribosomal RNA". It matches the Rfam family "Bacterial large subunit ribosomal RNA", at positions 451 to 867 of the family's 2925-position model. Lineage: Bacteria; Bacillati; Bacillota; Bacilli; Caryophanales; Staphylococcaceae. The record is from RNAcentral.